GAUGAACGCUGACAGAAUGCUUAACACAUGCAAGUCUUUGGCGAAGCUGUGCUUGCACAGCCUAGCCAAGGCGGACGGGUGAGUAACGCGUAAGGGACUUGCCCUGCAGUCAGGGAUAACAGACGGAAACGACUGAUAAGACCUGGUAAAGUCAGGCGGACUCAUGUCCAGCCUGAUGAAAAGGAAUGCUGCAGGAGAGCCUUGCGUCCUAUUAGCUUGUUGGUGGGGUAACGGCCCACCAAGGCGAUGAUAGGUAGCCGGCCUGAGAGGGUGGACGGCCACAAGGGGACUGAGAUACGGCCCUUACUCCUACGGGAGGCAGCAGUGGGGAAUAUUGGACAAUGGGGGCAACCCUGAUCCAGCAAUUCUGUGUGCACGAUGAAGGUCUUCGGAUUGUAAAGUGCUUUCAGCAGGGAAGAAAAAAAUGACGGUACCUGCAGAAGAAGCGACGGCUAAAUACGUGCCAGCAGCCGCGGUAAUACGUAUGUCGCGAGCGUUAUCCGGAAUUAUUGGGCAUAAAGGGCAUCUAGGCGGCCCUGUAAGUCUAGGGUGAAAACCUGCGGCUCAACCGCAGGCCUGCCCCGGAAACUACAGGGCUAGAGUGCUGGAGAGGUGGACGGAACUGCACGAGUAGAGGUGAAAUUCGUAGAUAUGUGCAGGAAUGCCGAUGAUGAAGAUAGUUCACUGGACGGUAACUGACGCUGAAGUGCGAAAGCUAGGGGAGCAAACAGG
RNAcentral lists this ribosomal RNA (732 nucleotides) under uncultured Leptotrichia sp. Its description in RNAcentral is "bacterial SSU rRNA". It matches the Rfam family "Bacterial small subunit ribosomal RNA", at positions 28 to 776 of the family's 1533-position model. Lineage: Bacteria; Fusobacteriati; Fusobacteriota; Fusobacteriia; Fusobacteriales; Leptotrichiaceae. The record is from RNAcentral.